This 46-nucleotide non-coding RNA is filed under the name Trichobilharzia regenti. The record is from RNAcentral. Lineage: Eukaryota; Metazoa; Platyhelminthes; Trematoda; Strigeidida; Schistosomatidae.
GUACUGCCGAGGAUUCCCAGACUAGGAGGAAACAGCUGUCCUGUAC